AUGAUCUGGUCCUGCUCGUUUCACUCAGCAUCCAUGCAUUCACUGGGCACUUUCCUUCAAGUUUCAGAGCUGGUCAUCUUGAAUGAGGGACAGGGGGAACAUCAGGUAAGAGACUUUUCCCCUAAGACUGGGGCUUAUUUUCUAGCACUGACCAUUUUUCCUCAAAUUUCAAAGUUGAAUAUGUUGAAUGAGGGACAGUGGGAAAACCAGGUAAGAGACGUUUUUAUUUUUUAUUAAGACUGGGGCUUAUUUUCUAGAACUGGCCACUUCUCCUUGUUUCAAACCUGGUCAUCUUGAAUGAGGGACAGUGGGAAAACCAAGUAAGACUUUUUUCCCCCUAAGACUGGGCUUAUUUUCUAGCACUGGCCACUUUUCCUCAAGUUUCAGAGCUGGUCAUCUUGAAUGAGGGACAAUGGCAGAACCAGGUAAGAGACUUUUUUUUUCACAGAGUACCUAGAAGAGUUCUAUUUUUCCCGGAUGGUUUUUCCUGCUUGUUUGUAUUUUCUUGGGCAGAGGGUCUCCAUAAUGUCUCCUUUAAGCUGCCCAGUGUUUGGUACAGAAGACUCUGCAGGAUGGGGCAGUAAGGACUGAUCCUCGCCCAUGUGUCUCAGUCCUUCCUUCUCCUCUUGGGCAUGGCUAUGUUCAAAGUUGGGCCGCAGCGAGCAGGAUGCUCUUCGGGUCCUCCUUCCUUUUUUUCUUAGUACCACGGCCCUCACACUAUUGCUCCAGGUGUCCGGAUGUAGCUGGAACUAGAGUCCGGUCUCCUAAAGGGAAUGGAGGAGAAGGGGAGCUACAGAGCCUGGGGAGCUACAGAGCCUGGGAAGCAUGAAAUUCUAAAUCCCCUUAAAGGCCUGUAUUUAUCUUAAAAAAUUAGAGUGGAGAAAGAGGCAUUAAGCCAGAGAAAUCUUUCCAGAGUCCAAAGCAGCCCAAUUACUAAGGGAAAAAGAGGAUUUUCUAGAUUCAAAUGGUCUCCCUAAUUAUUUCUCAUUUUAUCCUGCAGGUGUAGACUCGGCCAGCAGCCCUGGUUUGAGAAGCGGGAACCAGCUGUGUUCUCUAUGGGUCGCAGGGAGAACCGGUCGUCUGGUGUCCGUGGCCCCCCUGGCCACGCUUGCCUCUGGGUGCCUUCCCAGGGCGGUCACUAUCAUCGGCAGACACUGUGGGGCUCGGUUUCAGAGUUCAGGGUCCUAAUCCUCGGGGACAUUUGUUUGUAAGCCUGCUGCAAGCUGAGCAGGAGGAAUGCCCUGGCUGAAGCCACCCUCCCUGCGGAGACUGAGAGAUAGUUGUUGUAGUGGACAAUGGAGCAUCCUGCCCCUCUGUCUAAGAGCCAGACCUGUGGUGGAAGAUAAGCCAUGGGUGUUUUGUUUAAUUGAAUUGGGGAGAGAGGAAAGAAACAAAAGAUGUGAGGUGAAGGGAGAACUCGGGAUGGUGGUAAAACAGCCAUUCAGGAUAAAAAAAAAUUAUUUUGCAGGGGUGUGACAUAAUUGAAAAUUUGAAUUAUUGAAGAUCUUGCUUAUUAUCUAUUUCUUCCUCUCCUGAGUCUGAAUGCCCUUGCUUCCUAUCUUGUUUUCUUCAUGCUUUACACAUCUAUUCUAUUAUUUCUUACUAAUUCUGAUACUCUCCUUCAUGCCAGGGAAGGCGCUUUACUCAGACAUCAAGGAGAAAGAAAUAAUCCCUCACACUCCACCUCCUCCUCCCAGGUCCUGUUUUUGAAUCAUCCAAGAAAACUGCAACUUCGGCCAGAGCCCCAACCUACAGGAACAGAGAGAACUGACCUACAGGAUAUGGGAGAAGGGAAGCAAGCAAGUCUUACAGUCUUCCCCUUCAAGACAAAUAUAUGUACAAGACAAGCCUCAUACAUGUUUAUAUUUAUGUUUGUGUAUAUAUAUGUAUAAGUGAUAGAUGCUUAUAUAAAGUUUUACAUAUGUCCCUGUGUGAAAUACAAAGAUUUUGCUUUAUAUAAAUGCUAUAAACAAUAAAAUUGUUACAUAUA
Long non-coding RNA from Sarcophilus harrisii (Tasmanian devil), 1990 nucleotides. RefSeq lists it as uncharacterized. NCBI's taxonomy places the organism in Eukaryota, Metazoa, Chordata, Mammalia, Dasyuromorphia, Dasyuridae. The transcript is spliced from 3 exons. The record is from RefSeq and is a predicted model, not a curated record.